Molecule: ribosomal RNA, 468 nt
Filed under: uncultured bacterium
Lineage: Bacteria
Description: partial 16S ribosomal RNA
Rfam family: Bacterial small subunit ribosomal RNA
Source: RNAcentral
GACGAACGCUGGCGGCGUGCUUAACACAUGCAAGUCGAACGGAAAGGCCCUGCUUUUGUGGGGUGCUCGAGUGGCGAACGGGUGAGUAACACGUGAGUAACCUGCCCUUGACUUUGGGAUAACUUCAGGAAACUGGGGCUAAUACCGGAUAGGAGCUCCUGCUGCAUGGUGGGGGUUGGAAAGUUUCGGCGGUUGGGGAUGGACGCGCGGCUUAUCAGCUUGUUGGUGGGGUAGUGGCUUACCAAGGCUUUGACGGGUAGCCGGCCUGAGAGGGUGACCGGCCACAUUGGGACUGAGAUACGGCCCAGACUCCUACGGGAGGCAGCAGUGGGGAAUAUUGCACAAUGGGCGGAAGCCUGAUGCAGCAACGCCGCGUGCGGGAUGACGGCCUUCGGGUUGUAAACCGCUUUCGCCUGUGGCGAAGCGUGAGUGACGGUAAUGGGUAAAGAAGCACCGGCUAACUACGUG